AUACGUAUGUCGCAAGCGUUAUCCGGAAUUAUUGGGCGUAAAGCGAGUCUAGGCGGCUUGUUAGGUCAGAUGUGAAAAUGCGGGGCUCAACUCCGUAUUGCGUUUGAAACUGGCAGGCUAGAGUACUGGAGAGGUGGGCGGAACUACAAGUGUAGAGGUGAAAUUCGUAGAUAUUUGUAGGAAUGCCGAUAGUGAAGACAGCUCACUGGACAGAUACUGACGCUAAAGCUCGAAAGCGUGGGGAGCGAACAGGAUUAGAAACCCCGGUAGUCC
RNAcentral lists this ribosomal RNA (273 nucleotides) under uncultured bacterium. RNAcentral describes it as "partial 16S ribosomal RNA". It matches the Rfam family "Bacterial small subunit ribosomal RNA", at positions 523 to 796 of the family's 1533-position model. The record is from RNAcentral.